This 1493-nucleotide ribosomal RNA is filed under the name Marirhynchus longasaeta. RNAcentral describes it as "partial large subunit ribosomal RNA". It matches the Rfam family "Eukaryotic large subunit ribosomal RNA", at positions 38 to 1325 of the family's 3401-position model. The record is from RNAcentral. Lineage: Eukaryota; Metazoa; Platyhelminthes; Rhabdocoela.
GCAUAUCAAUAAGCGGAGGAAAAGAAACUAACAAGGAUUCCCUUAGUAGCGGCGAGCGAACAGGGAUUAGCCCAAAACCGAAUCCUGCAGCUUAUGUUGUUAGGAAAUGUGGUAUUUGGUUCAAUCCUUACGGCAUGCUGGAGUUGUUUUAAGUCCACGUGAUUGUGGCAUCAAGCCCACAGAGGGUGUAAGGCCCGUAAAAACAAUACAGUAUGUCCAAGGGUAGUUCCUAGAGUCGGGUUGUUUGGGAAUGCAGCCCAAAUAGGGUGGUAAACUCCAUCCAAGGCUAAAUACAACACGAGUCCGAUAGCGAACAAGUACCAUGAGGGAAAGUUGAAAAGAACUUUGAAGAGAGAGUUCAACAGUGCGUGAAACCGCUCAAAAGUAAACGGGCAGAGCUGAAGAAAGAAUUGUACAUUUGUACUUUAAUGUUCCCAUGCGCUACGUUUGGUAUUCAAUGAAACCUACGUAUUUUGUACAGAUCAUUGUUGUGCUGUUGUACCUUUCUGACACCACGAUCGGUAGUUAAGUAGUCCAUGUCAUUUAGGGAAAGGUGACUUGGGAUUCUUCCUAAGUGUUACAGACCCUUAAUACAGCGGCUGCCGAGUACCGUUAUGCGAUGCAAGCCAUUGUGGCGUUCAUGAAGUGAGGUAGUAAGGUGGAGCUAUAUCAACUCUUAAGAUAUGAUGUGGCUGUUGCUCUGCUGCUUUAAGUCCUCUGUACGUUGCAUCAAUAAUCUGUGGUGGAAUUGUAGGCAAUCUGCCCGACCCGUCUUGAAACACGGACCAAGGAGUUUAACAUGUGCGCGAGUCAUGGGGUUAUACGAAACCUAAAGGCGAAGUGAAAGUAAAGGCUUGUUUUUUGCAGGCUGUGGUAGGAUCCUGGCUUACAAUGUGUUUAUUUACAUGGGCUGGGCGCACUACCAGCUCGUCCCAUGCUUUAAAAAGUGGGGCGACGCAUGAGCGCACAUGUUGAGACCCGAAAGAUGGUGAACUAUGCUUGCGUAGGUUGAAGCCAGAGGAAACUCUGGUGGAGGACCGUAGCGAUUCUGACGUGCAAAUCGAUCGUCAAACGUGAGUAUAGGGGCGAAAGACUAAUCGAACCAUCUAGUAGCUGGUUCCCUCCGAAGUUUCCCUCAGGAUAGCUGGCACUCUGGAAACAAACAGUUUUAUCCGGUAAAGCGAAUGAUUAGCAGUAUUGGGGAUGAAAUAUCCUCAACUGAUUCUCAAACUUUAAAUGGGUGAGAAGCUCAACUCUCUUAAAUUUGGAGUUGGGCAUUGAAUGUGAGUGCCUAGUGGGCCAUUUUUGGUAAGCAGAACUGGCGCUGUGGGAUGAACCAAACGUCUGGUUAAGGAGCCAAACAUGACGCUCAUGAGAAACCACAAAAGGUGUUGGUUGAUUUUGACAGCAGGACGGUGGCCAUGGAAGUCGGAAUCCGCUAAGGAGUGUGUAACAACUCACCUGCCGAAUCAACCAGCCCUGAAAAUGGAUGG